ACGGGAGGCAGCAGUGGGGAAUAUUGGGCAAUGGGCGAAAGCCUGACCCAGCAACGCCGCGUGAGGGAAGAAGGUCUUCGGAUUGUAAACCUUUGUCUUAUGGGACGAUAAUGACGGUACCAUAGGAGGAAGCCACGACUAACUACGUGCCAGCAGUCGCGGUAAUACGUAGGUGGCGAGCGUUAUCCGGAAUUAUUGGGUGUAAAGGGUGCGUAGGCGGGAUGUAAAGUCAGAUGUGAAAUACCGCGGCUUAACUGCGGGGCUGCAUUUGAAACUUACGUUCUUGAGUGCGAUAGAGGUAAGUGGAAUUCCCAGUGUAGCGGUGAAAUGCGUAGAUAUUGGGAGGAACACCAGUGGCGAAGGCGACUUACUGGGCCGUUACUGACGCUGAGGCACGAAAGUGUGGGGAGCAAACAGGAUUAGGUACCCUGGUA
This 434-nucleotide ribosomal RNA is filed under the name uncultured Oscillospiraceae bacterium. Its description in RNAcentral is "bacterial SSU rRNA". It matches the Rfam family "Bacterial small subunit ribosomal RNA", at positions 341 to 792 of the family's 1533-position model. Lineage: Bacteria; Bacillati; Bacillota; Clostridia; Eubacteriales; Oscillospiraceae. The record is from RNAcentral.